Molecule: transfer RNA, 59 nt
Filed under: Leptotrombidium deliense
Lineage: Eukaryota; Metazoa; Arthropoda; Arachnida; Trombidiformes; Trombiculidae
Description: tRNA-Thr
Source: RNAcentral
AGAAAGAAUAGUUUAAUAAAAAUAUUGAUUUUGUAAAUCGAAGAAAUUAAAUCUUUCUC